RNAcentral lists this ribosomal RNA (429 nucleotides) under Chloroflexota bacterium. RNAcentral's name for it is "Chloroflexi bacterium partial 16S ribosomal RNA". It matches the Rfam family "Bacterial small subunit ribosomal RNA", at positions 355 to 776 of the family's 1533-position model. The record is from RNAcentral. Lineage: Bacteria; Bacillati; Chloroflexota.
UGGGGAAUAUUGCACAAUGGGCGCAAGCCUGAUGCAGCCAUGCCGCGUGUAUGAAGAAGGCCUUCGGGUUGUAAAGUACUUUCAGCGGGGAGGAAGGCGAUAAGGUUAAUAACCUCAUCGAUUGACGUUACCCGCAGAAGAAGCACCGGCUAACUCCGUGCCAGCAGCCGCGGUAAUACGGAGGGUGCAAGCGUUAAUCGGAAUUACUGGGCGUAAAGCGCACGCAGGCGGUUUGUUAAGUCAGAUGUGAAAUCCCCGGGCUCAACCUGGGAACUGCAUCUGAUACUGGCAAGCUUGAGUCUCGUAGAGGGGGGUAGAAUUCCAGGUGUAGCGGUGAAAUGCGUAGAGAUCUGGAGGAAUACCGGUGGCGAAGGCGGCCCCCUGGACAAAGACUGACGCUCAGGUGCGAAAGCGUGGGGAGCAAACAGG